AGCGGCUAGUUCUGUACCGUGAAAGGUAGUCCAUAGGCUUAAAAGAAAAUGGAAUAAUCAAAAUACAGUUUCAUGAAAUUAUUAUUUUCUCCAACAGUUUCACCUAUAUACUGACGUGAUGUGAAAUUUGAGGGGUGGAGGUGGAAAGAGAAUAAGAGUGGCCGCCAUUUUGUUUUGGAAUUUUGGGGAAAACAAAAUGGCUGCCAUCGUUUUGAAAAAUGGCUUCCUCUUUUGCUGCUCCCUGAGGGCCACAACCAUACUGCUAGACGGUUGGCUAUCUACAGAAAAAGCGCACACUUUUACUAAAUCGGUGGAUUGUUCCUCCAGCCACUUGCUUUCUUUGAGCGGUGCAAUAUUAAGUAUUCCUCCAGAGAAAAAGCUGCGGUUGAAGCAGUCUUGUUUUUAAAAAAAGAGUGUUCCAUACCAUCUUAUUUUUAAUCCUGAAGUAUUAGGGAAACAUUUUUUAUUUUUACAUUUAGAUGUUUAAAAAUAAAAUGGAACGAGAAUGUCUUUCAGAAAAAGAAACAAAGAAGCAAAAUCUACCUCAGAGAUGUGUCGUUUAAAAAGCAAAAGUUUAAAGUUGCCCCCAGACCAGAGUGGGGUUGGGGGGGGGGGCGAGGCUCAGAGAUUAGGCAUUUGUUAUCAGAAAUAAUAUUAAUAUUACAGAGGCCUAGUUGGGCUCAACCAGAAGCCUGGCAUUUGUGGAACAAUCUCUCCUCAGGCAUCCUCGCAUUUGAAUUUCAGCUGUCUUCUUGAAGACUUUUUUUUGCCUAUGCAGUUGUUUACAAUUUUCUUGAGUCAUUUGAGUAAUUGUUUUGUACUACUUUUAAGAGGGAGGGGGUAUACUUUUAUAUUGCUGCACCACGAUCCUGAUUUUGUAUGAGAAGGCAGUGUGUGUGCUCAGAGUUCAGCGAAAUAAUCUGAAAUAAGCAAGGAUCAGAGAGGUUUAGUUGAAAUUUAUUUUGAGAAACAAUGUUGGGGGCAUGUCAUGAGAAAGAAAAUGCAUGGAUGCAGCUAUAAAUAUUUGGAAACAGCAAGUGUGACCUAGAGUGAAGCAGCUGGGAGAAACUGGAGUCAGGGAAUAUUCUUGGGAGACAGUCCUUGUGUGGGCAUAGAAUGUGAACAAACCAGGAAGUCUGGGAGGAGGAGGAGGAGGAGGAGGCAAAAUGCAAGAUAAGUUUCAUUUAGCCGGAUGGGUGAGCAGAAGAAAGGAGGGCAGAGAGAGAGAGGACAGAGACAGAGAGAGGGACCGAUGAAGAAUAGCAGCGGGGGAAGAGUGACUCUCUGCAUAUGUGCUCUUUCAGCGCGCUGAAAAAUGUCUCUAGCAGAGGAGGCGAUCGCGGCGUGAAGGGCAGGCGGCUCGCCGGAUUCUCCUUCCCUGCUGUAGUUUUGCUUAACUCUAUACUCAUUGUAGCAAAGAGCUAGCGGUGGGACAAGCCGUAAAGAUGAGUUAUCGGCCCGCGACAGGCAGAAAUAUAACAUCAUGGAAAUGCUAAUGACUCCGCGCUGCCUUUCUUUAUGGCGAGUGUAAUACAGACUUCAAUCAUAAAAACAAUCUUCCAACAUUUUAAUGGGCUCCAUCAUGCGCACGCUUGUCCGUAUAUUUGAAAGAUAAAUCAAGGCCCCCAGUUGGAAUGA
This is a long non-coding RNA of Podarcis raffonei (Aeolian wall lizard), 1638 nucleotides long. RefSeq lists it as uncharacterized. The record is from RefSeq and is a predicted model, not a curated record. The transcript has 3 exons. NCBI's taxonomy places the organism in Eukaryota, Metazoa, Chordata, Lepidosauria, Squamata, Lacertidae.